Molecule: ribosomal RNA, 253 nt
Filed under: uncultured bacterium
Lineage: Bacteria
Description: partial 16S ribosomal RNA
Rfam family: Bacterial small subunit ribosomal RNA
Source: RNAcentral
UACGAAGGUGGCAAGCGUUGUUCGGAAUUACUGGGCGUAAAGCGCGUGUAGGCGGCUCUUCAAGUCAGGCGUGAAAGCCCUGAGCUCAACUCAGGAACUGCGUUUGAUACUGUCGAGCUAGAGUGUGGAAGGGGCAAUCGGAAUUCCGUGUGUAGCGGUGAAAUGCGUAGAUAUACGGAGGAACACCAGAGGCGAAGGCGGAUUGCUGGGCCAACACUGACGCUGAGACGCGAAAGCCAGGGUAGCAAACGGG